This 248-nucleotide ribosomal RNA is filed under the name uncultured Hyphomicrobiales bacterium. Its description in RNAcentral is "uncultured Rhizobiales bacterium partial 16S ribosomal RNA". It matches the Rfam family "Bacterial small subunit ribosomal RNA", at positions 356 to 621 of the family's 1533-position model. Lineage: Bacteria; Pseudomonadati; Pseudomonadota; Alphaproteobacteria; Hyphomicrobiales. The record is from RNAcentral.
GGGGAAUAUUGGACAAUGGGCGAAAGCCUGAUCCAGCCAUGCCGCGUGAGUGAUGAAGGCCUUAGGGUUGUAAAGCUCUUUUACCAGGGAAGAUAAUGACUGUACCUGGAGAAUAAGCCCCGGCUAACUUCGUGCCAGCAGCCGCGGUAAUACGAAGGGGGCUAGCGUUGUUCGGAAUCACUGGGCGUAAAGCGCACGUAGGCGGACUCUUAAGUCAGAGGUGAAAGCCCAGGGCUCAACCCUGGAAU